RNAcentral lists this ribosomal RNA (422 nucleotides) under uncultured bacterium. RNAcentral describes it as "bacterial SSU rRNA". It matches the Rfam family "Bacterial small subunit ribosomal RNA", at positions 362 to 775 of the family's 1533-position model. The record is from RNAcentral.
UCUUCCGCAAUGGACGAAAGUCUGACGGAGCAACGCCGCGUGAGUGAUGAAAGUUUCCGGAUCGUAAAACCCUGUUGUUAGGGAAGAACAAGUACCGUUCGAAUAGGGCAGCACCUUGACGGUACCUAACCAGAAAGCAACGGAUAACUACGUGCCAGCAGCCGAGGUAAUACGUAGGUGGCAAGCGUUGUCCGGAAUUAUUGGGCGUAAAGCGCGCGCAGGCGGUUUCUUAAGUCUGAUGUGAAAGCCCCCGGCUCAACCGGGGAGGGUCGUUGGAAACUGGGGAACUUGAGUGCAGAAGAGGAGAGUGGAAUUCCACGUGUAGCGGUGAAAUGCGUAGAGAUGUGGAGGAACACCAGUGGCGAAGGCGACUCUCUGGUCUGUAACUGACGCUGAGGAGCGAAAGCGUGGGGAGCGAACAG